CUCUCCCCCACCCUCUCUCUUCUCCCUCUCCCUCCAAGUCUGGCACUGAACGCGAACUGUUUUGCUUUGCUCUGGGAAGAGUGCAGACACAUAACGUGAAAUCCCGAGCUUUUUGCGUGGUGCAUUUAAAAUGCUUCCUUGUUUAUAUUACCCUCAUUCCCUCACCUCCCCCACCCCCUCACCAGUCCUUCCAAAUUUCCCUAGAAAUCUAUGUAAAGCAUGCGGAGGGGAAAACAUUUGCACAAAAAGUGAAGGAGCUCGCCAAGGUGGUCAAACCUGUCCUGACACCCAGAGGUCUGCAUGAGGGGUGGCCACUGAAGGAGGAGUUCUCAAAGGCCACAGGUGAUGAAGAGCUUGGAUGAAUAAACUUAGAAGUCCCAGGAAAAUAGCAAAAAUUUCAUCUCCUGAAGAAAUUUGAAGAUUUUUUUGGAUAUUCUUUUAAAGGUGAAACUUUUCUUCUUUAGGAUUGGACAACUGAAUUUAAAGGCAAGUUAAAGUUCAAUAUUUUGAACAAUGUUUAAAUCAAGAUGAGCGAGAAGACAGAACUGUUAAAAGGUUUUAUUUUACAGCCAAGUGAAGGAUUCAGCUAUGUCCCAAAGGAUUAAACAAGAUGAUGUGGAAUUUGAAUGCAUAAUAAUUAAAUCUAUACAAGAUCAUACAGCUAAUAAGAGGCAGAAUCAGGAUCUGGUUCCAGAUUUACCUGACACUAAAGGCCAGAGUUUUAUCGUAUUGCCUCUUCUUCGGAGAGCUAUUAGUCACAUGUUUGGUUAGUAUGGC
This 777-nucleotide long non-coding RNA is filed under the name Homo sapiens (human). Its description in RNAcentral is "HSALNT0362466". The record is from RNAcentral. Lineage: Eukaryota; Metazoa; Chordata; Mammalia; Primates; Hominidae.